This 484-nucleotide ribosomal RNA is filed under the name uncultured bacterium. Its description in RNAcentral is "partial 16S ribosomal RNA". It matches the Rfam family "Bacterial small subunit ribosomal RNA", at positions 28 to 523 of the family's 1533-position model. The record is from RNAcentral.
GACGAACGCUGGCGGCGUGCUUAACACAUGCAAGUCGAACGAUGAAGCUGGAGCUUGCUCUGGCGGAUUAGUGGCGAACGGGUGAGUAACACGUGAGAAAUCUGCCCUUGACUCUGGGAUAACUGCGGGAAACUGUAGCUAAUACCGGAUACUUUCCCUGGUGGGCAUCCACUGGGGAAGAAAGAAUUUCGGUCAAGGAUGAUCUCGCGGCCUAUCAGCUUGUUGGUGAGGUAAUGGCUCACCAAGGCGACGACGGGUAGCCGGCCUGAGAGGGUGACCGGCCACCCUGGGACUGAGCCACGGCCCAGACUCCGACGGGAAGCAGCAGUGGGGAAUAUUGCUCAAUGGGCGCAAGCCUGAUGCAGCAACGCCGCGUGAGGGAUGAAGGCCUUCGGGUUGUAAACCUCUUUUAGCAGGGAAGAAGCGAAAGUGACGGUACCUGCAGAAAAAGCACCGGCUAACUACGUGCCAGCCGCCGCCGUAA